UACGGAGGGUGCGAGCGUUGUCCGGAAUCACUGGGCGUAAAGGGCGCGUAGGCGGCGCGGUGAGUCAACGGUGAAAGCUCGGCGCUCAACGCCGAGUCGGCCGUCGAUACUCCCGUGCUCGAGCACUGUAGAGGCAGGUGGAAUUCCGGGUGUAGCGGUGGAAUGCGUAGAGAUCCGGAAGAACACCGGUGGCGAAGGCGGCCUGCUGGGCAGUAGCUGACGCUGAGACGCGAAAGCGUGGGGAGCAAACAGG
RNAcentral lists this ribosomal RNA (253 nucleotides) under uncultured bacterium. RNAcentral's name for it is "partial 16S ribosomal RNA". It matches the Rfam family "Bacterial small subunit ribosomal RNA", at positions 524 to 776 of the family's 1533-position model. The record is from RNAcentral.